UCCUCGGUGGUAUAGUUGUUAGUAUCCGCGCCUGUCACGCGCGAGGACCCGUGUUCCCCAAUUCGCGGCCGGGUAGAA
This is a non-coding RNA of Parelaphostrongylus tenuis, 78 nucleotides long. The record is from the annotation of a GenBank genome assembly. NCBI's taxonomy places the organism in Eukaryota, Metazoa, Nematoda, Chromadorea, Rhabditida, Metastrongylidae.